RNAcentral lists this ribosomal RNA (536 nucleotides) under uncultured delta proteobacterium. Its description in RNAcentral is "SSU rRNA". It matches the Rfam family "Bacterial small subunit ribosomal RNA", at positions 242 to 769 of the family's 1533-position model. The record is from RNAcentral. Lineage: Bacteria; Deltaproteobacteria.
CAGCUAGUUGGUGGGGUAAUGGCCCACCAAGGCGAUGAUGGCUAGCUGGUCUGAGAGGAUGGCCAGCCACACUGGGACUGAAACACGGCCCAGACUCCUACGGGAGGCAGCAGUGGGGGAUAUUGCGCAAUGGGCGAAAGCCUGACGCAGCGACGCCGCGUGGGUGAUGAAGGCCUUCGGGUCGUAAAGCCCUGUCGAGGGGAAAGAAACGGUUUCGACCUAACACGUCGGGAUCCUGACGGUACCCCUAAAGGAAGCACCGGCUAACUCCGUGCCAGCAGCCGCGGUAAUACGGAGGGUGCGAGCGUUGUUCGGAAUCACUGGGCGUAAAGGGCGUGUAGGCGGUCCGCUAAGUCUGAUGUGAAAGCCCGGGGCUCACCCCCGGAAGGGCAUUGGAAACUGACGGACUCGAGUCCCGAAGAGGAGGGUGGAAUUCCUGGUGUAGCGGUGAAAUGCGUAGAUAUCAGGAGGAACACCGGUGGCGAAGGCGGCCCUCUGGACGGUGACUGACGCUGAGACGCGAAAGCGUGGGGAGC